This 497-nucleotide ribosomal RNA is filed under the name uncultured bacterium. Its description in RNAcentral is "partial 16S ribosomal RNA". It matches the Rfam family "Bacterial small subunit ribosomal RNA", at positions 28 to 507 of the family's 1533-position model. The record is from RNAcentral.
GAUGAACGCUGGCGGCGUGCCUAAUACAUGCAAGUCGAGCGAACAGACGAGGAGCUUGCUCCUCUGACGUUAGCGGCGGACGGGUGAGUAACACGUGGAUAACCUACCUAUAAGACUGGGAUAACUUCGGGAAACCGGAGCUAAUACCGGAUAAUAUAUUGAACCGCAUGGUUCGAUAGUGAAAGACGGCUUUGCUGUCACUUAUAGAUGGAUCCGCGCCGCAUUAGCUAGUUGGUAAGGUAACGGCUUACCAAGGCAACGAUGCGUAGCCGACCUGAGAGGGGGAUCGGCCACACGGGAACGUGGACACGGUCCAGGCGCCUACGGGAGGCAGCAGAAGGGAAUCUUCCGCAAUGGGCGAAAGCUUGGCGGAGCAACGCCGCGUGAGUGAUGAAGGUCUUCGGAUCGUAAAACUCUGUUAUUAGGGAAGAACAAAUGUGUAAGUAACUAUGCACGUCUUGACGGUACCUAAUCAGAAAGCCACGGCUAACUACGUG